UCAGCACAAGUAACAAGCAACAAGAAAUCUCAUCACUUUUGUUCUUGCUUUUUUCCAUUUUUUGCUGAUACUCAGUAAUCCAGGGUUUUUCCACCUAUACUGAUUUGAAGUGCAAUUUUGUUUUCAUUCAAGACCUUGGUUCACAAAAAAAAAAAAACCUUUACUUUUCUAAGAUCUUUGUUAUUUGUGACUAUAUAGAUUAGAUUGCAGCAGAAAAUAAUUAGAAUGCCACAAAAAGAGCUAAUCAAUUGAUACUCCUCGAGCAUAGCUUAAAGUAUUGGGUGCAUUUUAGUUUAGUUUUGUGUAUGAUCAGCAUGAUGCCACUGCAAGUAAGGGUAUGAUCAUAUUUGAAUUGUGUGUUUGCUUUUGUAAAAAUUUUGGUACUACUAGAUUUGUUAUUCUCUAUUGCACAUAACUUUUAAUACCAUUCUAUAGUUGUCACUAUACUGUAAAAGUAUGAUAGCUGAAUUGGUUUCAAAGUAUUAUUUCUUUUAUAACAUAUUAAGCACCUGUUUCCUCUUCCUCUUUUUUUUUUGUUUUUUUUUUUUGCUUUCUCUAAUAACUACUUACUUGCAUUAUUAUUCAUUAUUGACAGGUGAUACCCACAAUGGCAAUCGUUUGAAUACGAGAUAUCCAGCCUUUACAGACUGACCUACAAAUCAAAGGGCGAGUCUGCAAGGUGUGGAGAGUGAAGAAAUACAGACCCGUUCCUAGAAACAAUGGUCUUCAGUUUGUUUUAGUUAAUGAGAAGAACGAGGGAAUCCAAGGAUCUUUUCUAGAAGCAUACUACACCACAAUAAGGACUGUGGGAAAGGAAAGCAAAUCACUUCUACACACAAAAAGACAUUGAUCAGGUCCGGGCCGAGUGGGCAAAGUAUGUCAGCCAAUUUCAACAAAGCUAGUGUAUUGAGAAGAUUCUAAUUUUGGACAUGCAUCAUCUAUAACCCAUAUUAACUAGUUAUGCAGUUGGUCUGAGUAUCUAUUUUUGGCCUGCAAGUACAGUUUAUGAUCAGUAGUAUGAGAUAUCAAUGUUUUUUGGGUUACAUUUGUUUAUCAUGCCAACUGCUAUGGGUUAUUGAAGUGAUGUUUAUUAAGUUUAGCUCCAUGAUGGAUGUAUGUAUAGCUGCAGGAACAGAUUGAUCAAAUAUUAGUAUUUUUGUGAAUGGAUUUCAUAUUUGAUGAAUG
Molecule: long non-coding RNA, 1185 nt
Organism: Rosa chinensis
Lineage: Eukaryota; Viridiplantae; Streptophyta; Magnoliopsida; Rosales; Rosaceae
Exons: 3
Source: RefSeq, a predicted model, not a curated record